GAUACCCUAUUAUUUUAAAUGUAAAUCUUUACUCUAGAUUAUUAUAAGUUAUGUUCUUUAAAAUUAAAUAUUUUGGCGGUAUUUUAGUCUUUCCAGAGGAACCUGCUUCGUAAUCGAUAAUCCACGAGACAAUUUACUUUAUCUUUAAGUUUGUAUAUCGUUGUAUUGAAAACAUUUUUUUAGGAUUAUAAUGUUUGUAAUGCUUUAAGAAGUUAUAGUUCAGAUCAAGGUGCAGCUUAUGAUAAAGGAGGGGUGGGUUACAUUUUAUUUAAUUUUGGAUUUUGUCUUGUAAAUAUGAAUGAUACUGGAUUUGGAAGUAAAUAAAUCAGUUUUAUUUGUUGACUAAGCUCUAGAAUAUGCACACAUCGCC
This 370-nucleotide ribosomal RNA is filed under the name Pimelia interjecta. RNAcentral's name for it is "partial 12S ribosomal RNA". The record is from RNAcentral. Lineage: Eukaryota; Metazoa; Arthropoda; Insecta; Coleoptera; Tenebrionidae.